This 809-nucleotide ribosomal RNA is filed under the name Janthinobacterium sp. NKUCC08_JDC. RNAcentral describes it as "partial 23S ribosomal RNA". It matches the Rfam family "Bacterial large subunit ribosomal RNA", at positions 395 to 1209 of the family's 2925-position model. The record is from RNAcentral. RNAcentral also lists the same sequence under 2 other names. Lineage: Bacteria; Pseudomonadati; Pseudomonadota; Betaproteobacteria; Burkholderiales; Oxalobacteraceae.
UACUAAGCGUACGACAAGUAGGGCGGGACACGUGACAUCCUGUCUGAAUAUGGGGGGACCAUCCUCCAAGGCUAAAUACUCGUAAUCGACCGAUAGUGAACCAGUACCGUGAGGGAAAGGCGAAAAGAACCCCGGAAGGGGAGUGAAAUAGAUCCUGAAACCGUGUGCAUACAAACAGUAGGAGCGGACUUGUUCCGUGACUGCGUACCUUUUGUAUAAUGGGUCAGCGACUUACAUUCAGUGGCAAGGUUAACCAUAUAGGGAAGCCGUAGAGAAAUCGAGUCCGAAUAGGGCGAUCAGUCGCUGGGUGUAGACCCGAAACCAAGUGAUCUACUCAUGGCCAGGAUGAAGGUGCGGUAACACGCCCUGGAGGUCCGAACCCACUAAUGUUGAAAAAUUAGGGGAUGAGCUGUGGGUAGGGGUGAAAGGCUAAACAAACUUGGAAAUAGCUGGUUCUCUCCGAAAACUAUUUAGGUAGUGCCUCAAGUAUCACCAUCGGGGGUAGAGCACUGUUAUGGCUAGGGGGUCAUUGCGACUUACCAAACCAUUGCAAACUCCGAAUACCGAUGAGUGCGAGCUUGGGAGACAGACGUCGGGUGCUAACGUCCGGCGUCAAGAGGGAAACAACCCAGACCGCCAGCUAAGGUCCCAAAGAUUGGCUAAGUGGAAAACGAAGUGGGAAGGCUAAAACAGUCAGGAUGUUGGCUUAGAAGCAGCCAUCAUUUAAAGAAAGCGUAAUAGCUCACUGAUCGAGUCGUCCUGCGCGGAAGAUGUAACGGGGCUAAGCCAGUCACCGAAGCUGCGGAUAU